RNAcentral lists this ribosomal RNA (680 nucleotides) under uncultured bacterium. RNAcentral's name for it is "bacterial SSU rRNA". It matches the Rfam family "Bacterial small subunit ribosomal RNA", at positions 8 to 679 of the family's 1533-position model. The record is from RNAcentral.
AGAGUUUGAUCCUGGCUCAGAUUGAACGCUGGCUGCAUGCCUAACACAUGCAAGUCGAACGGAAACGAUGGAAGCUUGCUUCCAGGCGUCGAGUGGCGGACGGGUGAGUAACGCGUAGGAAUCUGCCUAGUAGUUGGGGACAACCUGGUGAAAACCAGGCUAAUACCGAAUAAGCCCUACGGGGGAAAGUGGAGGAUCUUCGGACUUCACGCUAUUAGAUGAGCCUGCGUCGGAUUAGCUUGUUGGUGAGGUAAAAGCUCACCAAGGCGACGAUCCGUAGCUGGUCUGAGAGGACGAUCAGCCACACUGGGACUGAGACACGGCCCAGACUCCUACGGGAGGCAGCAGUGGGGAAUAUUGGACAAUGGGGGCAACCCUGAUCCAGCAAUGCAGCGUGUGUGAAGAAGGCCUGCGGGUUGUAAAGCACUUUCAGUAGGGAGGAAAAGUUCAAGGUUAAUACCCUUGGACCCUGACGUUACCUACAGAAGAAGCACCGGCUAACUCUGUGCCAGCAGCCGCGGUAAUACAGAGGGUGCAAGCGUUAAUCGGAAUUACUGGGCGUAAAGCGCGCGUAGGCGGCUUGAUAAGUCGGAUGUGAAAGCCCCGGGCUCAACCUGGGAAUUGCAUUCGAUACUGUCAAGCUAGAGUAUGGUAGAGGUAAGUGGAAUUCCAGGUGUAGC